This is a long non-coding RNA of Oncorhynchus tshawytscha (Chinook salmon), 1088 nucleotides long. The record is from Ensembl. NCBI's taxonomy places the organism in Eukaryota, Metazoa, Chordata, Actinopteri, Salmoniformes, Salmonidae.
AGAAAGAGAGAGAGAGAGGGAGAGAGACUGAUAAAAGAGAGCGAGAGAGUGUGCGGCAAAGCCUGUUGACUCGGUGUAAGAAUGACUGCGUGAGUACUGGAUGAACAGAUCACACCCUCACACUUACACUGACGAGGAAAAGGCGGAGAGGAAAGCAGACCGAACGAGGAGAACGAAGAAGACGGGGAGAAAGGAGAGAGGAAGACAAAGAAGAAAGAGGCUAGCAGUACAGUCUCUCUGGUAGCUAUGGCUCAAGGCAUCUAUUCCCUACUCUUUCUGUGGGCUUGUAUAGAGACAGACAUGAGGACUCUGGGAGCUACAGUAUAGUAUAUCUUCAUGGAUUGGCUGGGCUCCUCUCCUUACAACCGGACAGCACAGCAACACAGGCAGCAUGGAGAUGAUGCCUGGGGGACACCAUAUGGCUCACCGUGGGCGAUUUUUAAACAACAGGCGGAGACCUCCCAAACACCCCAGAGCUUCCUGCCCUGCUUUGCUGAUGCUGCAACGGUACUGUGCUGGACCUCUCUCCUCUUCAGGGAAGCUGUACUCUUGUAUGGAUGUAUGAAAUACUGCCAACUGUAUUGCUGAAGUGCAAACUUUCAAAAUAUCCACGUACUGCUUCUCCCUCCUGUUGGAAGUCAACUGUAGCCUGUUCUUGUGUGUAUGUAGGAAAUACUACCCACUGUAACUGUAUUGCUAGAGUGCAAGCUUGUGGAAUUUCUCCAAGACCCCAUCCUCCUUGUUUCCCUGUUCAUGUUGUUUUUUAUCACUAAUGAUUUGGUUUCUGAAUUCUACAUUCGACCAGACCACAACCUCUGCUGUUAAUUGUUUAGAAUGUGACAGACAUGCAUGCACAAGUGAAAUGAGAUCAAGGACAGUUUCUUUCUCUCUCCAACCUGUGACCUAGGUAACCUGGGACUUCCCUACAUCCUACUUUCGUAACAGGCUGAUCUCACGCCAGGCCAUCGCAUUGCUCUUCAAACCACAAAUAGCCUACAACAGCUAUGUGCAGACAGUGACCUCUUCUGGUAGAAUGAAGACAAGUUGAAUGACCUCAUACACACUGAACAAAACACUAAAUUGCUCCC